AGUGAACGCUGGCGGUAGGCCUAACACAUGCAAGUCGAACGGCAGCACGGUAAGAGCUUGCUCUUACGGGUGGCGAGUGGCGGACGGGUGAGGAAUACAUCGGAAUCUACUUUUUCGUGGGGGAUAACGUAGGGAAACUUACGCUAAUACCGCAUACGACCUACGGGUGAAAGCAGGGGAUCUUCGGACCUUGCGCGAUUGAAUGAGCCGAUGUCGGAUUAGCUAGUUGGCGGGGUAAAGGCCCACCAAGGCGACGAUCCGUAGCUGGUCUGAGAGGAUGAUCGGCCACACUGGAACUGAGACACGGUCCAGACUCCUACGGGAGGCAGCAGUGGGGAAUAUUGGACAAAGGGCGCAAGCCUGAUCCAGCCAUACCGCGUGGGUGAAGAAGGCCUUCGGGUUGUAAAGCCCUUUUGUUGGGAAAGAAAAGCAGCAGGUUAAUACCCCGCUGUUCUGACGGUACCCAAAGAAUAAGCACCGGCUAACUUCGUG
RNAcentral lists this ribosomal RNA (492 nucleotides) under uncultured bacterium. RNAcentral's name for it is "partial 16S ribosomal RNA". It matches the Rfam family "Bacterial small subunit ribosomal RNA", at positions 29 to 507 of the family's 1533-position model. The record is from RNAcentral.